AGGGGCUUAGGAUAACACAAGACCAAGAGCCUUCAAAGCUCUAAGUAGGAGUGAGAAUCUCCUAGCCCCUG
This 71-nucleotide transfer RNA is filed under the name Formosania stigmata. Its description in RNAcentral is "tRNA-Trp". It matches the Rfam family "tRNA". Rfam says of the family: Transfer RNA (tRNA) molecules are approximately 80 nucleotides in length. Their secondary structure includes four short double-helical elements and three loops (D, anti-codon, and T loops). The record is from RNAcentral. RNAcentral also lists the same sequence under 1 other name. Lineage: Eukaryota; Metazoa; Chordata; Actinopteri; Cypriniformes; Gastromyzontidae.